This 255-nucleotide ribosomal RNA is filed under the name Bifidobacterium breve. RNAcentral describes it as "partial 16S ribosomal RNA". It matches the Rfam family "Bacterial small subunit ribosomal RNA", at positions 26 to 279 of the family's 1533-position model. Lineage: Bacteria; Bacillati; Actinomycetota; Actinomycetes; Bifidobacteriales; Bifidobacteriaceae. The record is from RNAcentral.
AGGAUGAACGCUGGCGGCGUGCUUAACACAUGCAAGUCGAACGGGAUCCAUCAGGCUUUGCUUGGUGGUGAGAGUGGCGAACGGGUGAGUAAUGCGUGACCGACCUGCCCCAUGCACCGGAAUAGCUUCUGGAAACGGGUGGUAAUGCCGGAUGCUCCAUCACACCGCAUGGUGUGUUGGGAAAGCCUUUGCGGCAUGGGAUGGGGUCGCGUCCUAUCAGCUUGAUGGCGGGGUAACGGCCCACCAUGGCUUCGA